RNAcentral lists this ribosomal RNA (1310 nucleotides) under Ameghiniella frondosa. Its description in RNAcentral is "SSU rRNA". It matches the Rfam family "Eukaryotic small subunit ribosomal RNA", at positions 50 to 1368 of the family's 1831-position model. Lineage: Eukaryota; Fungi; Ascomycota; Leotiomycetes; Helotiales; Cordieritidaceae. The record is from RNAcentral.
CAUGCAAGUCUAAGUAUAAGCACGUAUACGGUGAAACUGCGAACGGCUCAUUAAAUCAGUUAUCGUUUAUUUGAUAGUACCUUUCUACACGGAUACCUGUGGAAAAGCUAGAGCUAAUACUGUGCCAAACGCCGCGACUUCGGAAGCGGUGCACUCAUUAGAUUCAAAACCAACGCCCUUCGGGGCUUUCUGGUGAUUCAUAGUGAUUCAGCGAAUCGCAUGGCCUUGCGCCGGCGAUGGUUCAUUCAAAUUUCUGCCCUAUCAACUUUCGAUUGGAUUGUCGUGGAAUCCAAUGGUGACAACGGGUAACGGGGAAUUAGGGUUCGAUUCCGGAGAGGGAGCCUGAGAAACGGCUACCACAUCCAAGGAAGGCAGCAGGCGCGCAAAUUACCCAAUCCCGAUGCGGGGAGGUAGUGACAAUAAAUACUGAUACAGGGCUCUUUUGGGUCUUGUAAUUGGAAUGAGUACAAUUUAAAUCCCUUAACGAGGAACAAUUGGAGGGCAAGUCUGGUGCCAGCAGCCGCGGUAAUUCCAGCUCCAAUAGCGUAUAUUAAAGUUGUUGCAGUUAAAAAGCUCGUAGUUGAACCUUGGGCCUGGCUGGCCGGUCCGCCUUACCGCGUGCACUGGUCCGGCCGGGCCUUUCUUCCAGGGGAACCGCAUGCCCUUCAUUGGAUGUGUCGGGGAACCUGGACUUUCACUGUGAAAAAAUUAGAGUGUUCAAAGCAGGCAGCGUGCUCGCAUAGAUUAGCAUGGAAUGAUGAAAUAGGAUGGCUGUUCUAUUUUGUUGGUUUCUGGGACCGCCGUAAUGAUUAAUAGGGAUAGUCGGGGGCGUCAGUAUUCAACUGUCAGAGGUGAAAUUCUUGGAUUUGUUGAAGACUAACUACUGCGAAAGCAUUCGCCAAGGAUGUUUUCAUUAAUCAGUGAACGAAAGUUAGGGGAUCGAAGACGAUCAGAUACCGUCGUAGUCUUAACCAUAAACUAUGCCGACUAGGGAUCGGGCGAUGUUAUCUUUUUGACUCGCUCGGCACCUUACGAGAAAUCAAAGUUUUUGGGUUCUGGGGGGAGUAUGGUCGCAAGGCUGAAACUUAAAGAAAUUGACGGAAGGGCACCACCAGGAGUGGAGCCUGCGGCUUAAUUUGACUCAACACGGGGAAACUCACCAGGUCCAGACACAAGUAGGAUUGACAGAUUGAGAGCUCUUUCUUGAUUUUGUGGGUGGUGGUGCAUGGCCGUUCUUAGUUGGUGGAGUGAUUUGUCUGCUUAAUUGCGAUAACGAACGAGACCUUAACCUGCUAAAUAGCCCGGCUGGC